UUAAAUUGAAGAGUUUGAUCAUGGCUCAGAUUGAACGCUGGCGGCAGGCCUAACACAUGCAAGUCGAGCGGCAGCGACAACAUUGAACCUUCGGGGGAUUUGUUG
Molecule: ribosomal RNA, 105 nt
Filed under: Vibrio sp. PID23_8
Lineage: Bacteria; Pseudomonadati; Pseudomonadota; Gammaproteobacteria; Vibrionales; Vibrionaceae
Description: partial 16S ribosomal RNA
Source: RNAcentral